UAGCCUGCAGCGGGGACUGAGCGCACGGGAGGCGGCAGGAGGCGCGCGAGAGCAUGGGGCAGCGGCCAGUGGGGCGAGGGGAGCGCUCAUGCCUGCAGGAGCUGGGAGCGGCGGCCGCGAUGGCGGGGCCUGUGAGCUACGGCCGCGGCGCGCGAGGGUAGUGCCUGCGGGCCAGGCGGUGGCGGCGCUCGAGCGGGGUAAGCGGCUGCCUGUCCGUGUGCUGGGCCGAGCUCCUGUAGCUGGCUGAGCGGCUGCUAGGCUCAACGGCUGGCUGAGCCAGCGGCAGCAGGACCUGCUGCUUCCGUACCCGCAAAUCUGGCGAUUGAGGUUAGAACUAGGGGAUGAAACAAUUCUUAAAAAAAAACUAUGGGAUGAAACUUCGCUGCAGCUGAUUGCGUUCAGUCAUUUUUAUGAGUACCGUGGACUUAUUUUUCAAGCUCAAGAAUGCUAUGGAAAUGGAAAGGGGUGAAACCCCAGAAGAAGGUGAAGAAUCCAAAUCUGCAGAUGAGAUUGUGUGUGGAGUUCGGUGUGAGUAUUGUCAAUCAAGCAAGUUCAUAGAGAAUAUGGGUAUCCAUUUAGCUGGUUCAAAUAGACCUACCACAAGCACUUCCAUUGUACUUGUUACUAUUGGCCAAUACUGUCCUUAGCUUCAUCUAUGAGAGAACAACAGUUGGAUAAUGAACUAGACAAUUGAAAAUAUUAGAUUUGUAUGAUCUCGUGGUUGUCUAGAGAUUUAUGGUAGACUAAUUCAAGCAUGGAUGUCUGAAGCAUUAAUAUUUGGAUCAUACAUGUACUUGGAUGUGCACUGGAGUAAUAUGUGGGUUAUAUAUAUGUAUGGAUGUGUGCUGGAAUGAAAA
Molecule: long non-coding RNA, 857 nt
Organism: Panicum hallii
Lineage: Eukaryota; Viridiplantae; Streptophyta; Magnoliopsida; Poales; Poaceae
Exons: 3
Source: RefSeq, a predicted model, not a curated record